AGAGUUUGAUCAUGGCUCAGAUUGAACGCUGGCGGCAGGCCUAACACAUGCAAGUCGAGCGGUAGCACAGAGAGCUUGCUCUCGGGUGACGAGCGGCGGACGGGUGAGUAAUGUCUGGGAAACUGCCUGAUGGAGGGGGAUAACUACUGGAAACGGUAGCUAAUACCGCAUAAUGUCGCAAGACCAAAGUGGGGGACCUUCGGGCCUCAUGCCAUCAGAUGUGCCCAGAUGGGAUUAGCUAGUAGGUGGGGUAACGGCUCACCUAGGCGACGAUCCCUAGCUGGUCUGAGAGGAUGACCAGCCACACUGGAACUGAGACACGGUCCAGACUCCUACGGGAGGCAGCAGUGGGGAAUAUUGCACAAUGGGCGCAAGCCUGAUGCAGCCAUGCCGCGUGUGUGAAGAAGGCCUUCGGGUUGUAAAGCACUUUCAGCGGGGAGGAAGGCGUUAAGGUUAAUAACCUUGGCGAUUGACGUUACCCGCAGAAGAAGCACCGGCUAACUCCGUGCCAGCAGCCGCGGUAAUACGGAGGGUGCAAGCGUUAAUCGGAAUUACUGGGCGUAAAGCGCACGCAGGCGGUCUGUCAAGUCGGAUGUGAAAUCCCCGGGCUCAACCUGGGAACUGCAUUCGAAACUGGCAGGCUAGAGUCUUGUAGAGGGGGGUAGAAUUCCAGGUGUAGCGGUGAAAUGCGUAGAGAUCUGGAGGAAUACCGGUGGCGAAGGCGGCCCCCUGGACAAAGACUGACGCUCAGGUGCGAAAGCGUGGGGAGCAAACAGGAUUAGAUACCCUGGUAGUCCACGCNGGCUCACCUAGGCGACGAUCCCUAGCUGGUCUGAGAGGAUGACCAGCCACACUGGAACUGAGACACGGUCCAGACUCCUACGGGAGGCAGCAGUGGGGAAUAUUGCACAAUGGGCGCAAGCCUGAUGCAGCCAUGCCGCGUGUGUGAAGAAGGCCUUCGGGUUGUAAAGCACUUUCAGCGGGGAGGAAGGCGUUAAGGUUAAUAACCUUGGCGAUUGACGUUACCCGCAGAAGAAGCACCGGCUAACUCCGUGCCAGCAGCCGCGGUAAUACGGAGGGUGCAAGCGUUAAUCGGAAUUACUGGGCGUAAAGCGCACGCAGGCGGUCUGUCAAGUCGGAUGUGAAAUCCCCGGGCUCAACCUGGGAACUGCAUUCGAAACUGGCAGGCUAGAGUCUUGUAGAGGGGGGUAGAAUUCCAGGUGUAGCGGUGAAAUGCGUAGAGAUCUGGAGGAAUACCGGUGGCGAAGGCGGCCCCCUGGACAAAGACUGACGCUCAGGUGCGAAAGCGUGGGGAGCAAACAGGAUUAGAUACCCUGGUAGUCCACGCCGUAAACGAUGUCGAUUUGGAGGUUGUGCCCUUGAGGCGUGGCUUCCGGAGCUAACGCGUUAAAUCGACCGCCUGGGGAGUACGGCCGCAAGGUUAAAACUCAAAUGAAUUGACGGGGGCCCGCACAAGCGGUGGAGCAUGUGGUUUAAUUCGAUGCAACGCGAAGAACCUUACCUGGUCUUGACAUCCACAGAACUUUCCAGAGAUGGAUUGGUGCCUUCGGGAACUGUGAGACAGGUGCUGCAUGGCUGUCGUCAGCUCGUGUUGUGAAAUGUUGGGUUAAGUCCCGCAACGAGCGCAACCCUUAUCCUUUGUUGCCAGCGGUUAGGCCGGGAACUCAAAGGAGACUGCCAGUGAUAAACUGGAGGAAGGUGGGGAUGACGUCAAGUCAUCAUGGCCCUUACGACCAGGGCUACACACGUGCUACAAUGGCAUAUACAAAGAGAAGCGACCUCGCGAGAGCAAGCGGACCUCAUAAAGUAUGUCGUAGUCCGGAUUGGAGUCUGCAACUCGACUCCAUGAAGUCGGAAUCGCUAGUAAUCGUAGAUCAGAAUGCUACGGUGAAUACGUUCCCGGGCCUUGUACACACCGCCCGUCACACCAUGGGAGUGGGUUGCAAAAGAAGUAGGUAGCUUAACCUUCGGGAGGGCGCUUACCACUUUGUGAUUCAUGACUGGGGUGAAGUCGUAACAAGGUAACCGUAGGGGAACCUGCGGUUGGAUCACCU
This 2075-nucleotide ribosomal RNA is filed under the name Klebsiella pneumoniae. RNAcentral describes it as "bacterial SSU rRNA". It matches the Rfam family "Bacterial small subunit ribosomal RNA". Lineage: Bacteria; Pseudomonadati; Pseudomonadota; Gammaproteobacteria; Enterobacterales; Enterobacteriaceae. The record is from RNAcentral.